Non-coding RNA from Pelobates cultripes (western spadefoot toad), 213 nucleotides. The record is from the annotation of a GenBank genome assembly. Lineage: Eukaryota; Metazoa; Chordata; Amphibia; Anura; Pelobatidae.
CUGGCAUCUCCAACACGUUGGUGGCGUAGUGGGGAAAAUCCUAUGUAAUAGUACGGGUGUUCGAUACCACAUGGAAAGCAGUUUGUAGUUCACCUCUUGAUAGUGAGAGCUGGAGGAGCUUUUGUGCUGCCAUAUCAAGGCCUUGUCCCAUUGUGCUGGUGUAAAGGGUUUAGCCAUGGCUCGUUCCCAGUGUCGUUUGAAGAGGUUGUUUUC